This is a long non-coding RNA of Daphnia magna, 1244 nucleotides long. RefSeq lists it as uncharacterized. The transcript is spliced from 2 exons. The record is from RefSeq and is a predicted model, not a curated record. NCBI's taxonomy places the organism in Eukaryota, Metazoa, Arthropoda, Branchiopoda, Diplostraca, Daphniidae.
ACACCAUGCGAUCUGUCGAAAUGCAAACUUGGAUCAUCUACAGUCAUGCUGCCUAGAAAGAAUUUUUUAUUUUGUAAACUGAACACAAAUGCGGUAACUUAAAAAAUAACUUAUGAUAAAACGUAAGAAUUUUGACAACCACAUUCUGGUAAAAAAUAAGCAUGAACAAAAGACUGAAAGAAAAUUAAAAUUAAACAACGUGAAUACUCACAACCAACAAUGACGAAGAUCAGCGUCGAAAAGAAUUGAAAUCGUGGUGCAGGGCUUUAUAUAAGUUCUCUUCCAUGAUCGACAGGCAGCAAGUACAAGCUUUAUUUUUCCACCACGCGAUGACACUGUAGUCGCUUGUAUUUUCGUCAUUUUUGUUGCCGCUGAAAAGAUAGGAUAUGGCAACUAGGAGCCUAGGACGAUGUUGAACUCUCCUAUUGAAAAAGUUUAGCAUUUUCCCAGGUAACGUCAUCAGAGGAAAAAUGUUAGCUUGUUUAUUAACCUUGCGCCUCAAUCGAAAAAAAUGAAUUCGCCACAUGGGACAGGGAAGAAUAACCAAGUUUCAGGUGAGGAAACGAGGUAAAAAUCAAGGUAAGCGUGGUAGAAAGGGGUACUAUCGGGGUUUUUAAUCGGGUUAUACGCACCAAUUUCUUGUAUUCAUAUUCUGUGUAAUCAACUACACCCGAUCAUUCGUGUCUGAGUUCGAUCGAUUGCAUCAAUUUAUAAUCAUAUCAACAUCAAAGUCUCGGACUACCAUAGUUUUCAGUAUAUCGUUGAGGUGAAAGGCAUAGUCCCUAACCGGAAGACCGUUUCCUAUAUAUCAAUAUUUACAAAUUCCUUAAAAAUUCAAAUAGAAAGCUUCACACCCAAUGAUGAGACAAGAAAAACUUGACAUCAAAGAGCAAUUUUACUGAAAUUAUGUUGGCCCAGUUGCCAGCACAUUCACAAUGCAAGUAUUUGAAAACUUUGUUCCUUACUUCUUAGAUAACAAAAAGAUUGAAUACUUUUGUGGCUGUGGCUACUGUGACGAAUGUACCAUGGAGAUUAUAUUGCUGAGGAGAAAUCCCACUUCAUUGUAAGAUUUUGCUGUCCAUCAAAUAUAAAUCUGAAUUGCUUUUGUAAUCCUAACAACAGAUCGGUACAACCAGAGAAAUGCAUGGAAAUGGAUACUAUAACUUAACUGACAAAUUCAACAGAUAAAACUGGAACAUGUAGCCAAGGAAGAGUUGGCAAGAAAGCAAACAAAAAAUACAGAA